RNAcentral lists this ribosomal RNA (637 nucleotides) under Escherichia coli. Its description in RNAcentral is "partial 23S ribosomal RNA". It matches the Rfam family "Bacterial large subunit ribosomal RNA", at positions 1273 to 1895 of the family's 2925-position model. The record is from RNAcentral. Lineage: Bacteria; Pseudomonadati; Pseudomonadota; Gammaproteobacteria; Enterobacterales; Enterobacteriaceae.
CUGGAGGUAUCAGAAGUGCGAAUGCUGACAUAAGUAACGAUAAAGCGGGUGAAAAGCCCGCUCGCCGGAAGACCAAGGGUUCCUGUCCAACGUUAAUCGGGGCAGGGUGAGUCGACCCCUAAGGCGAGGCCGAAAGGCGUAGUCGAUGGGAAACAGGUUAAUAUUCCUGUACUUGGUGUUACUGCGAAGGGGGGACGGAGAAGGCUAUGUUGGCCGGGCGACGGUUGUCCCGGUUUAAGCGUGUAGGCUGGUUUUCCAGGCAAAUCCGGAAAAUCAAGGCUGAGGCGUGAUGACGAGGCACUACGGUGCUGAAGCAACAAAUGCCCUGCUUCCAGGAAAAGCCUCUAAGCAUCAGGUAACAUCAAAUCGUACCCCAAACCGACACAGGUGGUCAGGUAGAGAAUACCAAGGCGCUUGAGAGAACUCGGGUGAAGGAACUAGGCAAAAUGGUGCCGUAACUUCGGGAGAAGGCACGCUGAUAUGUAGGUGAAGCGACUUGCUCGUGGAGCUGAAAUCAGUCGAAGAUACCAGCUGGCUGCAACUGUUUAUUAAAAACACAGCACUGUGCAAACACGAAAGUGGACGUAUACGGUGUGACGCCUGCCCGGUGCCGGAAGGUUAAUUGAUGGGGUCAGCG